This is an RNA transcript of Salvia miltiorrhiza (redroot sage), 1323 nucleotides long. RefSeq lists it as uncharacterized. The record is from RefSeq and is a predicted model, not a curated record. Lineage: Eukaryota; Viridiplantae; Streptophyta; Magnoliopsida; Lamiales; Lamiaceae. The transcript has 3 exons.
UUCUUUAUUGUUUUCUGUUACAAUUGAUUUUUUAGGGCACAACAACUGAAGUUAUACAUCACUCUUUUUUCCCCACUUAAAGGUUAUGCAAAAUCUUCUUUGAUAAUCAACUUCACGAUUAUAUACCAAUCUACAGCAAUGAAAAAGAUAAUCUAUAUAUUAUAUAAAACAUCAGUUUAACGGAUAUAUUUUCCCGGCAAAAUUUAAAGUUACGGUUUCUCACACACGUUCUCCCCCAAUCUCUCUGAAAACAUAGUUUUGGAGCAGUUUUUUUGUGCACCAAAUUUGACAGCUUAUUUCACAAAAUCGUGUGAUAUUGUGUGAAUUGUGAUCAGUUAUUUUAAGGAGAAUCAUUUAUAUCUUCUUCAUAUAAAACUUCAUGCGACGCGGCUCAUCCCGUUCUUCAACAGCUUAACUAUGAAGAGAGAGAAUCUAGGGUUUCUGCAGCAACAACAGGGAAUGGGAAUCGAGAGUACACUACACACUAAUGAUGUUGCAGGUAGUUCGAUGCACUGCGGGGGGAUGUGAGGCGAAUAAGUAGUAUUGAAUCUCUUUUCUUUUAUGUUUAACCUAUUCCCGAGGAAAUAAUUGCGAAGCCUAUUGGAGUUUUUUUGUUUAUUAUUUGUGAUUGUCUGCAACUAAGUUCUUUUGUUAUUUGUUAUUAAUUAUGUUGAUGAAUAAAGUUGCAUUGACAUUUGGGAAGUUUUGAUUAGAUUUGUUUUUGCUGUAAAUUGAACCCCCAUUUCGCACACGUCACACAUUAAGGAAGCUGAAAAACACAGCAAAGAGCUUGGCGGUCACGGUUUGAGGUCGCGCACCAGAGAUUCCUUUUCCCGAAGAAGGGUCCAACCCACCUCACCACCUACCUUUGCAUCUUCAAAAUCGGCGAUUAUGUCGACGUUAAGGUUAACGGUUCCAUCCACAAGGGCUUGCCCAUCAAGUACUACCAUGGCCGCACCGGUCGUGGUCGUGUCUGGAAUGUCGCCAAAUGCGCGUCAGUGUCGAAGUCAACAAGCAGGUUGGUAACAGGAUUAUAAGGAAGAGAAUCCAUGUCCGAGUGGAACAUGUUCAACCCUCUAGGUGCCAUGAGAAGAUCCAGGAGAGGAUAAAGAAGAAUGACAAAUUGAAAGCUGAUGCAAAGACGCAGGGAAAAGUUAAUGAUAUCUCAAGGGUGGUUACUAAGGCGUUUUGGCUGCAGGAUUUGUGUUCUAAUGUUUUGUGGAUUUUCCCUUUCCCAUAUUAUCUCAUUAGACUUGUGCUCUUCAUUUGCUUAUGUGAUGGACAACGAUGAUAUUGGUAAGUGACAUGUCUUAUUUUUCUGAA